CAGUGUUCACCUCUGCAACAUUAAAAUUUGAAUGACACACACACAAAAAAACUGGCAUAGCCCCUGCAUAAGGAUGACACAAAUAUUUGUGAAAUAUUUCAUAUAUUU
This 108-nucleotide small nuclear RNA is filed under the name Sciurus vulgaris (Eurasian red squirrel). Lineage: Eukaryota; Metazoa; Chordata; Mammalia; Rodentia; Sciuridae. The record is from RNAcentral.